CCCUUAGAUGUUCUGGGCCGCACGCGCGCUACACUGAUGCAUUCAACGAGCCUAUCCAUGACCGACAGGUCCGGGUAAUCUUUGAAUCUGCAUCGUGACGGGGAUAGAUUAUUGCAAUUAUUAAUCUUCAACGAGGAAUGCCUAGUAGGCGCAAGUCAUCAGCUUGCGUCGAUUACGUCCCUGCCCUUUGUACACACCGCCCGUCGCUCCUACCGAUUGGGUGUGCUGGUGAAAUGUUCGGAUCGGCCGUUUGUCGCGGUUUCCGCGUCAUGUGGCUGAGAAGUUCAUUAAACCCUCCCACCUAGAGGAAGGAGAAGUCGUAACA
This 325-nucleotide ribosomal RNA is filed under the name uncultured eukaryote. RNAcentral describes it as "partial 18S ribosomal RNA". It matches the Rfam family "Eukaryotic small subunit ribosomal RNA", at positions 1470 to 1796 of the family's 1831-position model. The record is from RNAcentral.